Molecule: ribosomal RNA, 495 nt
Filed under: uncultured bacterium
Lineage: Bacteria
Description: partial 16S ribosomal RNA
Rfam family: Bacterial small subunit ribosomal RNA
Source: RNAcentral
GAUGAACGCUGGCGGCGUGCUUAACACAUGCAAGUCGAGCGAAGCACUUAUGAAAGAUUCUUCGGAUGAUUUCAUUUGUGACUGAGCGGCGGACGGGUGAGUAACGCGUGGGUAACCUGCCUCAUACAGGGGGAUAACAGUUGGAAACGACUGCUAAUACCGCAUAAGCGCACAGUACCGCAUGGUACAGUGUGAAAAACUCCGGUGGUAUGAGAUGGACCCGCGUCUGAUUAGCUUGUUGGUGGGGUAACGGCCUACCAAGGCAACGAUCAGUAGCCGACCUGAGAGGGUGACCGGCCACAUUGGGACUGAGACACGGCCCAAACUCCUACGGGAGGCAGCAGUGGGGAAUAUUGCACAAUGGGGGAAACCCUGAUGCAGCAACGCCGCGUGAGUGAAGAAGUAUUUCGGUAUGUAAAGCUCUAUCAGCAGGGAAGAAAAUGACGGUACCUGACUAGGAAGCCCCGGCUAACUACGUGCCAGCAGCAGCCGCCG